Molecule: ribosomal RNA, 405 nt
Filed under: uncultured Nostoc sp.
Lineage: Bacteria; Bacillati; Cyanobacteriota; Cyanophyceae; Nostocales; Nostocaceae
Description: bacterial SSU rRNA
Rfam family: Bacterial small subunit ribosomal RNA
Source: RNAcentral
AGCAGUGGGGAAUUUUCCGCAAUGGGCGAAAGCCUGACGGAGCAAUACCGCGUGAGGGAGGAAAGCCCUCGGGUUGUAAACCUCUUUUCUCAGGGAAGAACACAAUGACGGUACUUGAGGAAUCAGCAUCGGCUAACUCCGUGCCAGCAGCCGCGGUAAUACGGAGGAUGCAAGCGUUAUCCGGAAUGAUUGGGCGUAAAGCGUCCGCAGGUGGCAAUGUAAGUCUGCUGUUAAAGAGUGAGGCUCAACCUCAUAAAAGCAGUGGAAACUAUAUAGCUAGAGUGCGGUAGGGGCAGAGGGAAUUCCCAGAGUAGCGGAGAAAUGCGUAGAUACUCUUAAGAACACCCGUGGCGAAAGCGAUCUGCUAGGCCACAACUGACACUCAUGGACGAAAGCUAGGGGAGC